CGGCCGGGAGAGUGUUUUAUAAGUUGAAAAACACUAGAAAAAUAAUAUUAGCUAUUAUAAUUGGUCCACUCAACUUCCUCAGAUGGAGUUCGCCCCAAGCAAAACAAAUUUCCCUCAACUCCACCCCAUAAACUGCAAGUCCCCAUAACUGCCCCUCCUCUUCUCCUCCUUUCCAGGCUCACCCAAACUUGGCUUCCUCUGCCUGUCCCAGGCACAGGCCUGGCAGGAAGUGACCAGCCUCCCAUUAGCUCUUGCCACAGGUCUGGGAGAGUUCACAGGCUGCUGAGCUGAGAUAAGAGGACCGGCAGGAACUGAGGGUUUCCUCACCCUAGAAAAGCACCUCCUCCUACUACUCCUUUGCCCUCCAGACUCAAGGCAGGAAGAGAAACCUGGGGAAGGGGCCUCAGAGGAGAGGCCUCCAUCAUGUGUUCAUUCUGACUGGUCAGUGGGUGCCACACUGUUUGAAUGUCACCCUUGCCGCAAAGGAAGAGCCUCUUUGCAUGGCUCUCCCCACCUCCUCCACCUGCUCCAAAUGUCUCCCACACCAGGUCCCAGGGGACCUUGCAUUUGCUUCCAGGGUUUGGGGGAAGUGAAAGGGGUAUUUGGAGGGAGGGGGUUGAGGGGACCAGGUGACACUGGCACACAUUUCUUGUGUGGUGGACAUCCCCAAAAUGUCAUUUGGCUCUUUGCUUGUUCCAACCCAUAUUUCAUUUCCAGGGUACCUGCUCUGUACCACUUAGCUGGAUACCACAAUGGAGAAAUAUCUUCCCUUCGUUCAGAAGGCACCUUCAGAACAGGGGCAUGUCCAGGCGGACACACAGUCCAGCGUAGGGAGAAGUAUCUCAGAGAUCUUUCCCAAAGGAGGGCACAGAAGUUAUCAGGUGCCCAGAGAUGGAAGCCACCCUGACUGGGGAUGAGCAGUUACUUCACCAACUCAAACUGGCUUAGACGGUCAGUGCUACCACCUGGCAUGUCAACAAAGGAUGGAGGAAGUGCAGUGCUGCUCCCCGCAAUGAUAUGAGCUGCAAUGGUGUCCUUUGGGCUGAUUUCCUCUCUCCACCCACGUCCGAAGUUUUGGGGCGUCUCUUUAGAGUUCUUUCUCUCUAGCCACAAGUCCUGCAGGCCAUUGGAAGACUAGGCUGCAGAAAGCUCAAACUGUUCCUUCCAUUUUGGGACCAGGGAACAGAGCUCACUUAAUGCUGCUCUCCCACUGAUGAUGCCCACCCAUUCUCGGCCUGCAAGCCCUACCACUCACAGCUUCAAAAAUGGCUCCGCCCUUCCUGAUUCCACCCCACACAGAAGAAAGCAACUUCUUGUGAUGCUUCCUUAUUCUGGAUGUGGCUCACCUCUUACCCCUUCCAACUCCUUUGGGUCCCCUAGAAAGCCUCCCUGGCUAAGGGGUACAGGCCCUCUCCUCAGCAGUGGGCACUGACCGUCUAACCAGGGCUCUGUCUCGGCACCUGGUAGCAAGGACGGCAAGAUACAACAACAUGCUGAUUUUAAUAGCCUCUGGCUUUCUCCACUGCGUUUCUCACCUGAAUGCCCUGCACACCAAAUCUUCCAUGGGGUCACCCUUGACCUCUAGGGCAAUUCCCAAGAAUCUAGCAGAGGAGUGGGGGAAACCAAAAGGCUGACAUGAAGGACUCAAGGGAAGCCUCUGGAAAGAAGAGACCAGACACUAAAAGGGAUGUGUGUGAAAUACUGGUUUUUAUUGGUUGGCACAAGAUUACAACCUACAAUUUCAAUGCCCUUCCCUCCCACACAGCUCAAAUGGAAGGAAACUGAUUAACACAUAGAAAGGAACGGCAGGCUCACAGGUUUAAGCAUUUGUUUUUACAAAAAGGAGUGGGAUAUGGGGGUGGUCAAGUUUUACGGGUAAUAACAACAUUCUCUCUAGAUGGCAGGGGGUAAGUCUGCCUGUCCUCCAUUGCUGGUACCACAUAAGGGAUACAUUAGUAAAGUAGGGAAAGGGUUAUAUGUGUGGCUGGCCUGUUCUUUAGAGAGGAAGGUGGGAUGGUAUCUGCUGUGUACCUGUCUCAGACCAAACCUGGGGCUGGACCAGUGCCCCUUUCUUCUCAGCCCUCCUCCACAGCCUGACUGUACUGCCAGCCGCACCCAUGAGAAGGAGGUGUGAAGGAAGCCUGAGGACAUCCACCUCGAGAAAAGGAAACAGGAAAACUAUUUCCUUCCGCCUUCUCUGGACCAAAUUUCACUCCCCUCAGCUCCAGAGAGUGCUGCAAAAAUCUUCCUUAGGGACGCUGUGAAGACACGGGGAAGAGGCCAGCCCUGAGCGGGCAAGAAGAAAAGCUUGAACUUUCCAUGCAGUACCAAGCAAGGCUAUUUUGGAAACAAGCAAACAAACAAAAAAUGGAAACCAACACCAUAUAACCACAGGUUGGGUAGCUCCUAAAUCCUGGACAGCAUUUGGAUUGGGGGUAAGGGCAAUUUUACUCCAGCUCCUUGUUUUAUAACCCGCACAAGGUGCCAAGAGGUUUAAGGACCACAACUGACCUCUCUUUCCCUACAAGCACCAUUCCUUGGAUUCCCAGUUUUGUUGAGCUCAUUUGAGGUCAUCCUUGCCAUCCUCUUAAAAAAUGACACAGCCUCUUGGUUAUUCCAUUUUCUAUCCCUUUCUACAAUUAUGAACACACUCUCUAAACAGGAGAUCUAUAUAUGCUCUCAUCCUGCAACCCAAGAGAUUAGGUGACCUAAUGAUGAGAAGGCUAACUUAUUUGCUUUCCUGGGUGGUCCUGAUGGAAAUGAACAGCAGCAGAGUUCUGGUGGGAUAGAGCAGUCUAGUCUGAGCCACUGUGUGAUUCCCCAGGGGACUGGUCCCUGGGUACAUGGGUCCCUGGCUCUCUGUCUCAGUUCCACAGAUAUUACUCAACUUGGCCAUUUACGCCUCAGCUAAAACAUAUGAGCAUGAGGGAAAAGGGACAAGAAAUACUUUUGUCCUCUAGAAAAACUUAACUCAAUACAUCUUGGCUACUUUGCCUCAACCCACGGGGUUCCCUGGAAACAUUUGUUGAACUUGGCCAAGAGGAGAUUGUAUAUGGAUGGCACACCUGGAAAAGGGGAGAAAGCACACUAGUUCAUCUCUUUUAUAAGUAGAAUGGUCCCAGGGAUGUUAACCUUUCUGAUGCUGAUAGUAGAUGAGUGGAGUGGAGGUAAUCGUGAGAAAACUUAAAAACCCUUAAGCUGUUUGGAGACUACACACCACAGUGGAGCAAACCAAGGUGGGGCCUCACUGCCUCCUCAGAGCCCAUCCCUGACCAUGUCAUUGGAUAGGAUGGAAGACAAAGUCUUUGAAAUGGAGGCUGGGCUGGCAAAAGUAAGUAUGAAGAUGCUACUACUGGCCUUCCACUUCCUCUCUCUGAUACACCUAAGAAGGUGAGAGACACUAGCUUCAAUUCCAUUUUACAACAGUUCUCAACAACCUGAAAUAUUCUUGACUUCCUUAAGCACAUGGAAAACUGGUAAGCUAUAUCUUUCUAACUGAAAUUUUACUUAUUCUAACCACCAACCUUUUCUUUGAUUAUCAACCAGUUUGACAGUCUUCAGAUCACAAAACAAUAGAACAGACCUGACAUUUACAAAACUGUACUACAUACUUAUUUCUUUUACAGUAGAGCUGACCAAUUACUUUUCUAACUACUAAUGCAACACCAUGCCACUGGGCCCUGGACUCUGAUGUUUCUGAUCCCUGAGCAACACAUCUAUGUCCAUUCACAGAUGGAAAUGAAAGAGUGAGAUUCUCAGAGGCUAAACAACAUUCUGGGAGCAAAUUGGAUUUUUGAAGGGAGAGUCCUCUUAGAAAAUUCUGAGCAAACAUGCUCCCAGUCACGAGGGAUGGGGUGAGCGGGCAGGUUUCUGUCUGUGAGCUAUAGCUCCCUUCUGAACUCCCUCAUGUUCUUGGGAGGACACAAGCCUCUUGCUCAUUAAGCAAAGGCCCUCCAAGUCUCCUUUUUACUUCAGCACUUUGGAAACUCUCCAAGACUUAACUUCCGAUCUGGGGAGGUUCUACGUGGAGCAGACCUAUCCCUUCUUAUUCCUGUUCCUGGGUGUCUCCAUAAUCAGCCUCUACCUUCCCUGGCAUAAGUCAUAUCUGUUAUGCUGCAGGAACUGAGUAACCAAAGCUAGAUAUCCCUUGGACCACUGAUUAGUGACACAUUUUCUCCACAACAAAGGGAGGUUAAAGACAAAGGUUUAACCUGAGAAACUUUUUUUUUGGCAAGAUAAUAAAGAGGUUAAAGAGGCUACGUGGAUCUGUCACUGCUUUAGCUUACCAUUUUCAAUUCAGCACCAAAGUGCUCAGAAAGACAGGCUCAGAUCAGGACGACUUCUUAAAGGGAUUCACAGGCAAUAUUACUGGCAAAAUGAUUUUCCAAAGCUGAGCCACGCGCCCCACCCUACAGGGAGGGGAGUAGAAUCUUAUGGCCCAGCAUUGGCAUUGAGG
This 4456-nucleotide long non-coding RNA is filed under the name Homo sapiens (human). RNAcentral's name for it is "HSALNT0333924". Lineage: Eukaryota; Metazoa; Chordata; Mammalia; Primates; Hominidae. The record is from RNAcentral.